This is a long non-coding RNA of Dermochelys coriacea (leatherback sea turtle), 2538 nucleotides long. RefSeq lists it as uncharacterized. Lineage: Eukaryota; Metazoa; Chordata; Testudines; Dermochelyidae. The transcript has 4 exons. The record is from RefSeq and is a predicted model, not a curated record.
CAAAAGAAUAAUCCUUUUGCUUUAGGCAUGAAACUAAAUGUACUGAUUAGCAAAGCGUUCCUUCAACUGGAGCCGUGGAGUGGAUUAGUUAUUUUGAAAGAACUUCAGGUUGCAGAUGCAGCGUAAGACUCACUUUUUCACCCCUUCUUUUUUAGAAUUAAUAAAAUAGGGACUUAUUCCCCCCCCGAAAGGUUUAUAAACCAGCCCACAUGUGCAGCACCUGCUGGCCAGACUGAUUAACAGCUCAACUACAGUAAUUAUUUAAUUGAAUUCUCUAAACAGGGGCUCCCUGGCUUCAGAACAGUCAGAAAACUAAGCAAUAAUUUUUGCUAUUCAACCCCUCUGCAACCUAUGUUGCCAAAAAUACGUGUAGCAGCAAACUUUCAUUAUCUAAAGAACUAGGCCUUUCAAAGAAUUACCUAGACAGUCCAGCAUGAUUUAUUUUUCAUUCACCCACUCAAGUUUAGGCUACAAUUUCAGUUUCAUAUUUAGAGUCUGGUUCAAAAUCCAUUGAGGGCAUCAGAAGUUUUUUCAAUGGGCUUUGGAUCAGGCCCUUAAAAUGCCUUGCAGUGGAGAUUUAUAACACCACUCCACCAGUGUUUCUUACUUGUUAACAUUAAUCCAAAUGUUGUUCUAGAAACAGGCUAAACUGAGCAAAAGCGGAGGGCCCCCUUUAAAAAAAAUUUUUUUUAACCCAGCACAUAAAGCAAUUUCUAAUUUAGUUUUAGAGUUUCCAGGUGUUUAAAUACAGAAGCAGAGGAAUAAUACACAAAUGCAGGUGUCUAACCUCAUUUUCAGUUUCUUGCUUAAAUUGUACCUUUGUUGGAGGUUAGAGUAUCUUUCAGUCAUUUUGCUCUAGGCUAUUUUGACUUUCUAAAUUAUGGUAAGGCUUUGGAUUCACAAACCACCAUAGCACUUGUACUAUUUAAAGUAUUUUUUGCAACUGCAGCCACAAUAAUUGUUUUAAAAAAAUGCAGAUUAUAAUCCACCACAAAGCCCAGAACCAAAGAGAGAUACUCUAGUCUUUGUAGGGAGUGGUAGCAUAAAAGUGAACAAAUAUUGCACUGUAGUAAUAAUAUAGUGCUCCUUACCCUACUAGCAUGUUUUUGGAAAGAACAACUGCCUAUGUUUAAUCUGAUUUUGUGUACUUCAAUUGUGUUGCACUAACUCUUACUAAAUGUCUACAUUGCAUAUAUAACUCCUUUCCUAAACCUGGAGAACUCUGUGUAGCUCAGAAACUUGUCUCUUUCACUAAUGGAAGGUGGUACAAUAAAAGAUAUUUCAUAUACACAUGCAGGAGCAGGAUACUGCUAUUUAGAGGUGUCAUGCACAUUCUAUUUAACAGAACAUUCCACCUUUUAUGAUCAAAUGCAUGUAUUUUCCUAUACCUAUAGCUUUAUAGUAGAGAUUCAAAUGCACUGAAUUUUAGAAUCCCCCAUUUUAGAGGCAGUUCUGCAAAUUAGAAGUCAGAUUACCACUGUAGGUGUCUACUGUACUCACUUUUUUAUUUUAAAAGGAGCGUACCUGAUUUAUUUGCACAGUUCCUACCAGGAUUGGAAUUAUUAGGAUGUUUUGCACCCAAACUUCCAUUUUGUUAGAAAAUGAAAAGGAGAGUGGUUUUAGAACCCUUACUAGCAUCACAGUCAAAAAGAGAAUGCUUGCAACAGAACAUUCCAUGUGCUGUGCUAACAGGAGUCAGCAAGUGAAAUUAACAGUAAGCAAAACUGAGCUGUACAUUUGUGUUAUCCAAGCUGAAUGAAAAAUAAUUUUGUUAAGUGGUGCAAAAUAAAUUUGUAAAAAAAAAGUGGUAAUUUUUAAAGAUACAUUUUUUGAACUUGUCUCUCCCUUGAAUGAGUAUUGCAAAGCUAAAUUUCAAAACCAUACCACGCACAUUGUCUGGACAGCUUCACCCAUACCUCAGUAUGAGUGAUGUACAAAACAAGCAAGUCAGCCAGGUCUCAAAAAUUCUUGGAUUUAUGCAGAACUAAGGUCACUGCAGUGCUGUAAUUGUAUAUUUCCCAAAAAACAAACCCUCUCACUUAACUGUAGUGAAUACAAGUAUUAAACCAAACAAUUUCCCCUUUUGAAUGCAACACAAAACCAAACCAGUUACUCUUCAUUGAAGGGUCCAGGAAAAAAUCACAUCUAAUGGACUUUUAUGGCUACAUUCACAAAUCCACACACUGCUGAACUUAAUGAUUCAUGCAAGCUGUCUAACAAAAUUGUAUGCAAAAAUCUACAGUCCUUAUAUUGGUUUCUCAACAGGAAUUUUAUAGCAUAUUAAUUGUAACUGGCCAUGGGGACAUGAAUUAAAAGCACGACAAUAGGCAUAUUUUAUACAUUGCAAAAUAAAUCAAACUUAAACAGAAAGUGAGGAUUGAUGUAAAGAACAUACAAAUGAAAAGAGGAGAAGGAAACCGCUUUAUUGCUAAAUAAGGGUUUUAAAAUGUUAUUGGAAGACUUACAUGUGCAAAAUUAACUGUGCCCAUAUCUGGCAAUUUGGCAUAGAUGGAAGUUUGUAUUUUCAUUAUAUAUUUC